ACGAACGCUGGCGGCGUGCUUAACACAUGCAAGUCGAACGGUGAAGCCUUCGGGUGGAUCAGUGGCGAACGGGUGAGUAACACGUGGGCAAUCUGCCCUGCACUCUGGGACAAGCCCUGGAAACGGGGUCUAAUACCGGAUAUUACCUGAGGGGGCAUCUUCUCGGGUGUAAAGCUCCGGCGGUGCAGGAUGAGCCCGCGGCCUAUCAGCUUGUUGGUGGGGUGAUGGCCUACCAAGGCGACGACGGGUAGCCG
This 254-nucleotide ribosomal RNA is filed under the name Streptomycetaceae bacterium ISOM054_OTU117. RNAcentral's name for it is "partial 16S ribosomal RNA". It matches the Rfam family "Bacterial small subunit ribosomal RNA", at positions 29 to 289 of the family's 1533-position model. Lineage: Bacteria; Bacillati; Actinomycetota; Actinomycetes; Kitasatosporales; Streptomycetaceae. RNAcentral also lists the same sequence under 1 other name. The record is from RNAcentral.